This is a long non-coding RNA of Mauremys mutica (yellowpond turtle), 626 nucleotides long. RefSeq lists it as uncharacterized. The record is from RefSeq and is a predicted model, not a curated record. The transcript has 4 exons. NCBI's taxonomy places the organism in Eukaryota, Metazoa, Chordata, Testudines, Geoemydidae.
CUACAUGGGGAACAAAUAUUUAAUACCGGGCUCUCCAGUCGUAGCAGAGAAAGGAAGCCAAACAAAAAAUGGUUUGGUGAGCACAUGAAUUGUUCUGAAGAGCAACAGCAGCCGUCCCGUAACUACCCUGCUUCAUGCUGACACACAAAGCAACUGCUUUCUUGUUAAGUAAAAACAAGUCAACAUUCACAGCAAAACCAUGAAAGAAAAACCACAAGUGACCUAACACUUCUGAGUCAUCCCCCCGCCUGGAGCUUCCUGAAAGAAUAAACAGACCUGAUUGGAACCCUCUGGCUUGUUCGUGCAAAAGUGAACCCAGUCACGAGGGAUCGGCUCCUGCCCAUCAAGAAGGCCUAUCACAACUAAACGGGACACUGUGUGACAUCACAAUACGAAGGACUUUGCUAAUUGCCCCCUUAUGCCAAUGAAGAGGCUACCUGCAGAAGGGCUCAUCCCAGCAGCCUGAAUUCUGAAAGAAGGAGCCGACGAGGAAGCUUUUCAUCUUUUGCUGUUUGGACUCUCGGAGGGCCGUAGCUACAGAACAGAAGCAGAGAUCCCCCAGGUCAACCUGGAUUAGCUCUAAAAGACAUUUAGAGCUAACAGAUUACUACAACUCUGUCACUUUU